UGGCCUUUAAUUGGGGCCUAGAAUGAAUGAAUAAAAUGGGUAAAAACUGUCUUGACUAUAUUAAUUAAAAAUUUCUAAAAAGGUGAAAAUUCCUUUAAAAAUUUAAUAGACGAGAAGACCCUAGGAGUUUAGAAACUUUUAAUUAUUUUAAAAAUCUAAUUUUGUUGGGGCGACAAUUUAACAGAAAACUUAAAGUCUNANAAAUUUUAUUAAACGAAAUUUUUAAUAAAAAAUAAACUACCCUAGGGAUAACAGCAUANUUUUUAAUAAGUU
Molecule: ribosomal RNA, 273 nt
Filed under: Zonites pergranulatus pergranulatus
Lineage: Eukaryota; Metazoa; Mollusca; Gastropoda; Stylommatophora; Zonitidae
Description: partial 16S ribosomal RNA
Source: RNAcentral